AGGAAGAACCAUAGAGAGAGAAGGGAAGGAGAAUCUCUAGAGAAGGUGUCAAUAUUCAAAGUGGUGAAGAAGUAGCUAUUAAACUGCCACCACAAAAGCAACCAAAGACGACGACCUUUCUUUCAUUUUUUCAGAUGCCACAACAAGCUCAAGAAAAGUCUUGAAAAACAACAGACAGGCAAAAGUUCGAGUCCAAGGGUAUUCCAGUAAUUCUUCACCUGGGUAUCAUCAAUAUAUGCUGCAAUGUUGUUUUCUGGGCCUACGUUUUGCUUCGGAUAUGGCUGUUGAAGGCCCCAUUCUGGGUUGCUUGGAUGGUGCAAAAGUCUCAUUACUCGGUACCAAAUAAAGGGACUAAAGGCCUGUUUCCUAACUGGGCUGAUAAUUUGGAUCUCAACUACCGGUUUCGGACGAAGGCCCCAAAUGGGUGCCAGCAGUUAAUGGGCCUAGGUGUCUAUGCAUACUUGAAGACCCAUAGUGGUUCUCAACCUGAACCAACCCGGGCCCGUUUUCAUGUUGUUAGCUUAGCAAUCCAUCUACACUUCAUGAGACUGUUGUGGAAGUGCCCAAUGUAAGAUGGGAAGACAUUGGCGGCCUCAAGAAUGCUAAAUGAGAGCUGCAAGAGUAAUAUGCUUCUCAGGUUUUUUACUCAUCACUGUGUAAGGGAUCGACUCUCAUUUCCGGUUGUAGUGCACAUUUGAAGAGUAUCUAAUGCUAGACAUUUGGAGGAUUAAUCAAUAAACAAGUCCCUUCAUGCUAAAGACUUGAAUAAAAGAUUGCGGUUUUGCAUCUGGAUCCAACAUACAUGAUCCGGGCUGUUCCAAGUAAUGCGUAUGAUAGUAUCUAUUGCACACUUCUUGCUUAAAGUGCCGUUCAUGGGGCCAUGGCCAUACUCGGGUUUCACUAUGGGACCUGUGAACAGCACAUACGCAUACCGCAUAUCCAAACGCGUAUAUUCCAAUUGAGGUAAGCGCACAUACGCAUACCGCAUAUCCAAACGCGUAUAUCACCCGACUCAUUAGUUUUGAUGUGCAUGUAUUGCAGCGUGUA
This is a long non-coding RNA of Helianthus annuus (common sunflower), 1047 nucleotides long. RefSeq lists it as uncharacterized. NCBI's taxonomy places the organism in Eukaryota, Viridiplantae, Streptophyta, Magnoliopsida, Asterales, Asteraceae. The transcript is spliced from 6 exons. The record is from RefSeq and is a predicted model, not a curated record.